RNAcentral lists this transfer RNA (74 nucleotides) under Candidatus Nealsoniibacteriota bacterium. RNAcentral describes it as "Candidatus Nealsonbacteria bacterium tRNA-Val". It matches the Rfam family "tRNA". From Rfam's summary of the family: Transfer RNA (tRNA) molecules are approximately 80 nucleotides in length. Lineage: Bacteria; Candidatus Nealsoniibacteriota. The record is from RNAcentral.
GGGCGGUUAGCUCAGUUGGCUAGAGCGUCGCGUUUACACCGCGGAGGUCGUAGGUUCAAAUCCUACACCGCCCA